CCUACGGGGGGCAGCAGUCGAGAAUCAUUCACAAUGGGGGAAACCCUGAUGGUGCGACGCCGCGUGGGGGAAUGAAGGUCUUCGGAUUGUAAACCCCUGUCAUGUGGGAGCAAAUUAAAAAGAUAGUACCACAAGAGGAAGAGACGGCUAACUCUGUGCCACCAGCCGCGGUAAUACAGAGGUCUCAAGCGUUGUUCGGAAUCACUGGGCGUAAAGCGUGCGUAGGCUGUUUCGUAGGUCGUGUGUGAAAGGCGCGGGCUCAACCCGCGGACGGCACAUGAUACUGCGAGACUAGAGUAAGGGAGGGGGAACCGGAAUUCUCGGUGUAGCAGUGAAAUGCGUAGAUAUCGAGAGGAACACUCGUGGCGAAGGCGGGUUCCUGGACAUUAACUGACGCUGAGGCACGAAGGCCAGGGGAGCGAAAGGGAUUAGAUACCCGAGUAGUC
This 446-nucleotide ribosomal RNA is filed under the name uncultured bacterium. Its description in RNAcentral is "partial 16S ribosomal RNA". It matches the Rfam family "Bacterial small subunit ribosomal RNA", at positions 338 to 795 of the family's 1533-position model. The record is from RNAcentral.